This 85-nucleotide ribosomal RNA is filed under the name Bacteroides fragilis. RNAcentral's name for it is "partial 16S ribosomal RNA". It matches the Rfam family "Bacterial small subunit ribosomal RNA", at positions 1449 to 1533 of the family's 1533-position model. Lineage: Bacteria; Pseudomonadati; Bacteroidota; Bacteroidia; Bacteroidales; Bacteroidaceae. The record is from RNAcentral.
GGAUCGUCCUAGGGUAAAACUGGUGACUGGGGCUAAGUCGUAACAAGGUAGCCGUACCGGAAGGUGCGGCUGGAACACCUCCUUU